AAUGACGGGGCCGCACAAGCGGUGGAGCAUAGUGGUUUAAAGUUCGAAGGACAACGACGAAGAACCUUACCAGGUCUUGACCAUCCCGAUGCUAUUCUAGAGAUAGAAAGUUACUUCGGUACAUCGGUGACAGGUGGUGCAUGGUUGUCGUCAGCUCGUGUCGUGAGAUGUUGGGUUAAGUCCCGCAACGAGCGCAACCCCUAUUGUUAGUUGCCAUCAUUCAGUUGGGCACUCUAGCGAGACUGCCGGUAAUAAACCGGAGGAAGGUGGGGAUGACGUCAAAUCAUCAUGCCCCUUAUGACCUGGGCUACACACGUGCUACAAUGGUUGGUACAACGAGUUGCGAGUCGGUGACGGCGAGCUAAUCUCUUAAAGCCAAUCUCAGUUCGGAUUGUAGGCUGCAACUCGCCUACAUGAAGUUGGAAUCGCUAGUAAUCGCGGAUCAGCACGCCGCGGUGAAUACGUUCCCGGGCCUU
RNAcentral lists this ribosomal RNA (476 nucleotides) under uncultured Streptococcus sp. RNAcentral describes it as "bacterial SSU rRNA". It matches the Rfam family "Bacterial small subunit ribosomal RNA", at positions 917 to 1381 of the family's 1533-position model. Lineage: Bacteria; Bacillati; Bacillota; Bacilli; Lactobacillales; Streptococcaceae. The record is from RNAcentral.